UGGCGGCACGCCUUACACAUGCAAGUCGAACGGCAGCACGGACUUCGGUGUGGUGGCGAGCGGCGAACGGGUGAGUAAUACAUCGGAACGUGUCCUGUAGUGGGGGAUAGCCCGGCGAAAGCCGGAUUAAURCCGCAUACGCUCUGCGGAGGAAAGGGGGGGAUCUUAGGACCUCUCGCUGCAGGGGCGGCCGAUGGCAGAUUAGCUAGUUGGUGGGGUAAAGGCCUACCAAGGCGACGAUCUGUAGCUGGUCUGAGAGGACGACCAGCCACACUGGGACUGAGACACGGCCCAGACUCCUACGGGAGGCAGCAGUGGGGAAUUUUGGACAAUGGGGGCAACCCUGAUCCAGCAAUGCCGCGUGUGUGAAGAAGGCCUUCGGGUUGUAAAGCACUUUUGUCCGGAAAGAAAACCACCUGGCUAAUAUCCGGGUGGGAUGACGGUACCGGAAGAAUAAGCACCGGCUAACUACGUGCCAGCAGCCGCGGUAAUACG
Molecule: ribosomal RNA, 495 nt
Filed under: uncultured eubacterium WR1139
Lineage: Bacteria
Description: bacterial SSU rRNA
Rfam family: Bacterial small subunit ribosomal RNA
Source: RNAcentral